Molecule: ribosomal RNA, 491 nt
Filed under: uncultured bacterium
Lineage: Bacteria
Description: partial 16S ribosomal RNA
Rfam family: Bacterial small subunit ribosomal RNA
Source: RNAcentral
AGUGAACGCUGGCGGUAGGCCUAACACAUGCAAGUCGAACGGCAGCACAGUAAGAGCUUGCUCUUACGGGUGGCGAGUGGCGGACGGGUGAGGAAUACAUCGGAAUCUACUUUUUCGUGGGGGAUAACGUAGGGAAACUUACGCUAAUACCGCAUACGACUUACGGGUGAAAGCAGGGGAUCUUCGGACCUUGCGCGAUUGAAUGAGCCGAUGUCGGAUUAGCUAGUUGGCGGGGUAAAGGCCCACCAAGGCGACGAUCCGUAGCUGGUCUGAGAGGAUGAUCAGCCACACUGGAACUGAGACACGGUCCAGACUCCUACGGGAGGCAGCAGUGGGGAAUAUUGGACAAUGGGCGCAAGCCUGAUCCAGCCAUACCGCGUGGGUGAAGAAGGCCUUCGGGUUGUAAAGCCCUUUUGUUGGGAAAGAAAAGCAGCAGGUUAAUACCCCGCUGUUCUGACGGUACCCAAAGAAUAAGCACCGGCUAACUUCGU